RNAcentral lists this ribosomal RNA (254 nucleotides) under uncultured bacterium. Its description in RNAcentral is "partial 16S ribosomal RNA". It matches the Rfam family "Bacterial small subunit ribosomal RNA", at positions 524 to 777 of the family's 1533-position model. The record is from RNAcentral.
UACGAAGGGGGCUAGCGUUGCUCGGAAUCACUGGGCGUAAAGGGUGCGUAGGCGGGUCUUUAAGUCAGGGGUGAAAUCCUGGAGCUCAACUCCAGAACUGCCUUUGAUACUGAGGAUCUUGAGUUCGGGAGAGGUGAGUGGAACUGCGAGUGUAGAGGUGAAAUUCGUAGAUAUUCGCAAGAACACCAGUGGCGAAGGCGGCUCACUGGCCCGAUACUGACGCUGAGGCACGAAAGCGUGGGGAGCAAACAGGG